The sequence is a ribosomal RNA, 1523 nucleotides long. It matches the Rfam family "Bacterial large subunit ribosomal RNA", at positions 1390 to 2925 of the family's 2925-position model.
CCUAAGCCGAGGCCGAUAGCGUAGGCGAUGGACAACAGGUUGAUAUUCCUGUACCAGUUGUUUUUGUUUGAGCAAUGGAGGGACGCAGGAGGCUAAGGAAUGCAUGCGACUGGAAGUGCAUGUCCAAGCAGUAAGUCUUGAGUAGAGUCAAAUGCUUUACUCUAUACGGACAAGCUGUGAUGGGGAGGGAAAUAAUAGUACCGAAGUUCCUGAUGUCACACUGUCAAGAAAAGCUUCUAGUGAGAAAACAACUGCCCGUACCGUAAACCGACACAGGUAGUCGAGGAGAGUAUCCUAAGGUGAGCGAGCGAACUCUCGUUAAGGAACUCGGCAAAAUGACCCCGUAACUUCGGGAGAAGGGGUGCUGACUUCGGUCAGCCGCAGUGAAUAGGCCCAAGCGACUGUUUAUCAAAAACACAGGUCUCUGCAAAAUCGAAAGAUGAAGUAUAGGGGCUGACGCCUGCCCGGUGCUGGAAGGUUAAGAGGAUGGGUUAGCUUCGGCGAAGCUCAGAAUUGAAGCCCCAGUAAACGGCGGCCGUAACUAUAACGGUCCUAAGGUAGCGAAAUUCCUUGUCGGGUAAGUUCCGACCCGCACGAAAGGCGUAACGAUUUGGCACUGUCUCAACGAGAGACUCGGUGAAAUUUUAGUACCUGUGAAGAUGCAGGUUACCCGCGACAGGACGGAAAGACCCCAUGGAGCUUUACUGUAGCUUGAUAUUGAGUGUUUGUACCACAUGUACAGGAUAGGUAGGAGCCGAUGAACCCGGAACGCUAGUUCGGUGGAGGCGCUGGUGGGAUACUACCCUUGUGUUAUGAACCCUCUAACCCGCACCACUUAUCGUGGUGGGAGACAGUGUCAGGUGGGCAGUUUGACUGGGGCGGUCGCCUCCUAAAGAGUAACGGAGGCGCCCAAAGGUUCCCUCAGAAUGGUUGGAAAUCAUUCGCAGAGUGUAAAGGCAGAAGGGAGCUUGACUGCGAGACUUACAAGUCGAGCAGGGACGAAAGUCGGGCUUAGUGAUCCGGUGGUUCCGCAUGGAAGGGCCAUCGCUCAACGGAUAAAAGCUACCCUGGGAUAACAGGCUUAUCUCCCCCAAGAGUCCACAUCGACGGGAGGUUUGGCACCUCGAUGUCGCUCGUCGCAUCCUGGGGCUGUAGUCGGUCCCAAGGGUUGGGCUGUUCGCCCAUUAAAGCGGCACGCGAGCUGGGUUCAGAACGUCGUGAGACAGUUCGGUCCCUAUCCGUCGCGGGCGUUGGAAAUUUGAGAGGAGCUGUCCUUAGUACGAGAGGACCGGGAUGGACUUACCGCUGGUGUACCAGUUGUUCUGCCAAGGGCAUUGCUGGGUAGCUAUGUAGGGAAGGGAUAAACGCUGAAAGCAUCUAAGUGUGAAGCCCACCUCAAGAUGAGAUUUCCCAUUUCUUUAAGAAAGUAAGACCCCUGAGAGAUGAUCAGGUAGAUAGGUUGGAAGUGGAAGUGCAGUGAUGUACGGAGCGGACCAAUACUAAUCGGUCGAGGACUUAACCAA